This 478-nucleotide ribosomal RNA is filed under the name uncultured bacterium. Its description in RNAcentral is "partial 16S ribosomal RNA". It matches the Rfam family "Bacterial small subunit ribosomal RNA", at positions 28 to 507 of the family's 1533-position model. The record is from RNAcentral.
GAUGAACGCUAGCGGCAGGCCUAACACAUGCAAGUCGAGGGAUAAGCCCUUUCGGGGGCAGAAACCGGCGCACGGGUGCGUAACUCGUAUGCAACCUACCUUUCACAGGGGGAUAGCCCGAUGAAUUUUGGAUUAAUACCCCAUUAUAUUAUUUGAUGGCAUCAUUUGAUAAUUAAAACUGCGGUGGUGUAAUAUGGGCAUGCGUCCUAUUAGCUAGUUGGAGUGGUAACGGCACACCAAGGCUACGAUAGGUAGGGGUCCUGAGAGGGAGAUACCCGACAAGGGUAAUGAGACAGGGACCAGAAUGCUACGGGAGGCAGCAGUGAGGAAUAUAGGUGAAGGGAAGGAAGAAUGAACCAGCCAUGCCGCGUGCAGGAAGAAUGGCUUAGGGGUUGUAAACUGCUUUUAAAAGGGAAGAAUAAGGCGUAAGUGUACGUUGAUGACGGUAACAGAUGAAUAAGCAUCGGCUAACUCCGUG